This is a long non-coding RNA of Lates calcarifer (barramundi perch), 2687 nucleotides long. RefSeq lists it as uncharacterized. The transcript has 3 exons. Lineage: Eukaryota; Metazoa; Chordata; Actinopteri; Centropomidae. The record is from RefSeq and is a predicted model, not a curated record.
GUUAAUGCAGCAAUAACGAGGGUCCAUUGAUUAAUAGUGCUGUUCAUGUCACAUUAAUGGCUACUUUAAAUAGUCACGUUAAAUUAUUCAGUGCACAGAAGUAGAUAAAUAAGUUUCCAGCGUGUACUUUCUUUUGUUUGGCUAUUCAUAAUGCAGUUGUGUGAAGGCCUUAGCAGAGAGGAUGUGGUCUGGAUCAGUUUGUACUCCUGCAGUAACUGAGGCGAGGUAGUCCACAUGACUUUGCUUUGUGUCUUAAGACAGAAAUUUGGACCUAGCGAGGCAGUCUGAGGGCCACACAGGGUUCACAGCCAAAACCACACGCACUCACAAAGGCAAUUAUGCUAAGGCCACCAAGCAUACUCCCACUCCGUGGUUACUGAAGUGCUAAGAAAUCCUCUAAAAAAAGAGAAUGCUUCAGCUGACACUCACAGAAAAGGUGACCACUCACAAGUUACAUUUGGGAUCUUUUAUAAUGACAAGGAGAACAAUGGAGGAGAAAUAACUCUACAGGGAGGCAACCUUUAGAAGCAGAAAGUUUUAAAUAAAGGUACAAUUUUUAGACAUAUUUUUCUACCACAUGAGCACAGAUAUGUAAUUUACCAGAGCUGACAUAUCUAGCCCUGGAUAUUUUCACAUUCAAGACUGUCCUGAUGCUUUAAAGGUUAGACCAUAUUGGUGGCUGGUGAAAUAUUUGCUCCAGUUUCAUAUAGAACUUUCUCUCUGUGCUAUGUCCAUGCUGUCUUCACACCAGGGGACAUAACCAGUUCACUGUCAGUUUAACAUAUUUGAAAUGCAAAUGAAGUGGUGGUAACAGAUCAUUUCGGUAUCCUUUACUUCUUACAUGGCUGAUUAUAACAACCUGGUAUGUUCUAAAAGUUGAACUGCCAGUGAACUGAUUGAACUGAACCAUUCAGGCUGAAAGGACACUUGGCCAACACUGACCUCAAGUGGUCAAACCAGGAAGUUCAGUAUUAUCAGUCACUGAUCAGAUUCUUGAGGAGGAACCAUAGACUGUAUAUGGGGGGAACUCAAGGAACUCACAAACAUGUAGUUUUAUAACCAUGUUGUUGAAAGUAUCAUUCUGUUUUAUAAGAUAUAAACUGAUGAAUAUAAACCUCUGGAUAACUUCACAUAUCGUUAUUGACCGUAAUCUUUCUGUACAUACAUUCACUGGGAGCUUUUGGAAAUAUUUUUUGGAAACAUUCCUGUAAGCUUCUGGUCUAUACUGACAUUAUUGUAUCAAAUAAUUUCUGCAGACAUGUCAGCUGCAAAUCCAUGCUGAGAAUCUCCUAUUGUACCACUCUAAUAACUAGAACUGAACUGCCAAUGUUAGCUGACGUAUGUCGUCAUUGGUCGCGACGUGUCUCGCCAUUGGCCUUUGCUUUCUGGGAGGAGCGCGGAGGGAAACGAAAUCAGGAAAACAGACUAAGACCAGCACUUGAACCGCUGCUUCUGUUUGUCAGUACUUGAGAAAAUGUCCUUACCGAGGAAGUCUGGAUACUUAAACAAACUCUGGAGCUGCUUUUUUGUACAACACAAGCGAGGCUGGAUGCUGAACACAAGCGAAGAAGUCAAGAAUGAACUUUGAAACUCAACUUUCAAGCCAAGAUGGACGAGAAGUCUGUGAAGUGCUGCCUUCGCCCUCCUGCCAGGCCACCUGAGGGUACUCGCCUUCAGCGCCGUCACCAUCUUGGUCGGCCCUUGGAUGGGAUUCGCCUAUGUCGUUGCUGCCGCCUCUCUGCCUUCGCCCCAGCAUCUGUCAGCGUUUCCAGCCCCGCCCGUGGGUUCAGUCUCCGGUGUCUCCUGCCCCCGGGCUGUCCGCCUGAGGUUUCCUGUUCCGUGGCUCUUCAGACCCCGGGCCAUCCGCAGGAGGUCUCUGGUUCCCCACUCUCUGCACGGCAAACAUAACACGAACUGACACACAUGCAGGAUAGUAGUUCUGUCAGUCACAGGUGGAAGACGUAUUGUCUAACUGACCUUCAUAACCAUGAUCAUCCAUGAGGGCUUUGAUUUUUACUUGUUGGUCCGUCUGGUAUCCGAUCUUGAGGACUGUCACGGCCCACCUGCUACAUGAAUCUUAGUUUCUUUGUUUCUGUUAUUUAGUAUUUUCUCCUUGAGUUUCUGGUGUUUAGGUUCGUGUUAUUUUUGGUAUUUAUUUCUCCUGCGUUUCUGGUUUUAUUUUGGUAUUCCUUUCCCUCAUGUUUCUUACCCUUGUAUUUCAUGUUUUAUUUUGUAGUCACUUGUCCUGGUGUGUUGUGUUUUUACUUCCUGUUUUAUUUUGGUAAUGGUUUCCUGGCGUGUCGUUUGUGGUUUUACUUCCUACUUACGGUUUUCUGUCUCACCUGGGUCCAAUUUGUUUAGUCCCUUUGUAUAUUGUCUCAUCUGUCCCUUCCUGAGUGGCCAUAGUAUUGCCUUAUGUUACAUUGUGUCACCCUCCUCAUGCUCCUCCUGUUCCUGUGUCUCCAGUGUUUUCCCAUUGUUUUUUCCUUGGACUUUAUUUUCUGGAUUUUCUGGCUCUUCUUUGUUUGGUUAAAUACAUUUCUGGACUGAAGUUAGUCUUGUUUGUCUGCAUUUUGGGUCCUGUCUUUUCUGCCUUUGCCCUCACUGUGACAGAUAUUGCAACAUCUUUAAAUAGCACUGUGAUAGAACAUCAUUUGAAUAUAUAAUAAAUGUGACAUCAAAAAUAA